CCUACGGGUGGCAGCAGUGAGGAAUAUUGGUCAAUGGGCGAGAGCCUGAACCAGCCAAGUCGCGUGAGGGAGUACUGCCCUAUGGGUUGUAAACCUCUUUUGUCGGGGAGCAAAAGCCGGACGUGUCCGGCUGUGAGAGUACCCGAAGAAAAAGCAUCGGCUAACUCCGUGCCAGCAGCCGCGGUAAUACGGAGGAUGCGAGCGUUAUCCGGAUUUAUUGGGUUUAAAGGGUGCGCAGGCGGAUUUUUAAGUCAGCGGUAAAAUCGUGGGGCUCAACCCCAUCCAGCCGUUGAAACUGGGGAUCUAGAGUGUGCGAGAGGUAUGCGGAAUGCGGGGUGUAGCGGUGAAAUGCAUAGAUAUCACGCAGAACCCCGAUUGCGAAGGCAGCAUACCGGUGCACAACUGACGCUCAGGCACGAAAGCGUGGGUAUCGAACAGGAUUAGAUACCCCAGUAGUC
RNAcentral lists this ribosomal RNA (458 nucleotides) under uncultured bacterium. RNAcentral describes it as "partial 16S ribosomal RNA". It matches the Rfam family "Bacterial small subunit ribosomal RNA", at positions 338 to 795 of the family's 1533-position model. The record is from RNAcentral.